UACGGAGGAUGCAAGCGUUAUCCGGAUUUAUUGGGUUUAAAGGGUGCGUAGGCGGUAUUUUAAGUCAGUGGUGAAAUCUGGUUGCUCAACAAUCAAAGGGCCAUCGGUACUGGGAUACUUGAGAGAAGUGGAGGCUUUUGGAAUGGAUGGUGUAGCGGUGAAAUGCUCAGAUACCAUCCAGAACACCGAUUGCGAAGGCAGCAGGCUAGGGCGCAACUGACGCUCAUGCACGAAAGCGUGGGGAGCAAACAGG
This 253-nucleotide ribosomal RNA is filed under the name uncultured bacterium. RNAcentral describes it as "partial 16S ribosomal RNA". It matches the Rfam family "Bacterial small subunit ribosomal RNA", at positions 524 to 776 of the family's 1533-position model. The record is from RNAcentral.